UUUUUACAAAGUCAAUUUUCCUACAUAACUCCAAAUUUUUUUCACACCAUCUAAGUAAUAUUUUAAUAUUUUCCAUAUCCAAUCCGUAUUCAAAUUUCCCCAAUUACCUCCAAAUGACUUAUGAAAAAAAAUGCUAUUUUAAUCGGGAGCCAAUAGCGGAUUACCCUUUGCAUUUGACAGCAGAGUUCAGGCUUAACCCUUAACCUCUUCAGGCUCGGAGGACCCUGGGCAGGAGAGAUUUAAGAACACCGUCCUCCCGCUUUCGCGAAAGGCCAAGAGUGACUUGAAAUGUAGACGCGGAGGCCUAUGGGAAAUGUAGUUUUAAAUAGGUGAGGUUCACCGCCUGGACUCUGGGAAGGGGACGCCACGCUCCUUCUGCGCAUGUGCAGCCGUAGCCUCCUCGUUCGUCUUCUCAGGACUCCAGAGAACCGUUGGGGAACUUUGGGGUGUGCUCGGAAAAUGCAGGGUGCGCACCUAGGGCGAGGGACUAGCUGGGAAGGGUGUGCCUGUGCUUGGGGAUGGGAGCAGGAAGUGUCUGGGACCUCGUCGCCCCCCGCGGCGGUGUAUAAACCCGGGCGGGCCGUCAGAGCGGAUCACUAUUUUAGACAAGUGCCAGGAUCCAAGAAUGAUGAUCUGUGAAGAGUUUUCCGAGGUCACCUACUUCUAACUCUUUUGAAAGAUUUAAAGACAUUGGGCCUGAAAAUUUCAGUGACUUGUCCAGGGAAACGCAGUUUGUGACAGUUCACUCUCUCACAGCUGAACCACAGUCCUCUGUACUCGCCCAGGAGCCACAGAAGUGAACAUCCCUCAGG
This 812-nucleotide long non-coding RNA is filed under the name Equus caballus (horse). RNAcentral's name for it is "lncRNA (ENSECAG00000038903.2)". Lineage: Eukaryota; Metazoa; Chordata; Mammalia; Perissodactyla; Equidae. The record is from RNAcentral.